RNAcentral lists this unclassified non-coding RNA (255 nucleotides) under uncultured fungus. Its description in RNAcentral is "partial contains 5.8S ribosomal RNA, internal transcribed spacer 2, and large subunit ribosomal RNA". The record is from RNAcentral. Lineage: Eukaryota; Fungi.
AACGCAUAUUGCACUCUCUGGCAUUCCGGAGGGCAUGCCUGUUUGAGUGUCAUGUAGACUCAAUCCCUCGGGUUUCCGAGGAGAUUGGACUUGGGUGUUGCCGCUCUGCCGGCUCGCCUUAAAAGACUUAGCGGGAUAGCACCGUAGUCGGCGUAAUAAGUUUCGUCGGUGAAGGUUGUGAUGACUGCUUACAAUCGCCCUCGGGCAAUUUUUGACUCUGACCUCAAAUCAGGUAGGACUACCCGCUGAACUUAA